CACUGCUCUAUGUGCUUGGACUUUUGGUGAGACCUUGACUCCUUAGCAAGGGUUAUGGCGCCGUUGUCUUUGCAGUAUAUUGUCAUAGCAUCUAAUGGUAUGACAUUCAGUUCUGCAACUAACGUUAAAAUCAGAUUUCGUCCUACACAUCUACAGCAUACUCAGCUUCCAUUGAUCAGUUGUUUGGAACCUUUCCAACAUACUAAACCAACACAAGAACCUUUUUUUCUUUCGUAAAAUAGCGAAUGGUGGGAGGC
Molecule: long non-coding RNA, 257 nt
Filed under: Elaeis guineensis (African oil palm)
Lineage: Eukaryota; Viridiplantae; Streptophyta; Magnoliopsida; Arecales; Arecaceae
Description: long non-coding RNA (EGUI_LNC016829)
Source: RNAcentral